UACGGAGGGUGCGAGCGUUGUCCGGAAUCAUUGGGCGUAAAGGGCGCGUAGGUGGCCCGGUCAGUUCGUGGUGAAAGCGCGGGGCUCAACUCCGCGUCGGCCAUGAAUACUGCUGGGCUGGAGCACUGUAGAGGCAGGCGGAAUUCCGGGUGUAGCGGUGGAAUGCGUAGAGAUCCGGAAGAACACCGGUGGCGAAGGCAGCCCCCUGGGAUAACACUGACGCUCAUGCACGAAA
This 235-nucleotide ribosomal RNA is filed under the name uncultured bacterium. Its description in RNAcentral is "partial 16S ribosomal RNA". It matches the Rfam family "Bacterial small subunit ribosomal RNA", at positions 524 to 758 of the family's 1533-position model. The record is from RNAcentral.